This 250-nucleotide ribosomal RNA is filed under the name uncultured prokaryote. Its description in RNAcentral is "partial 16S ribosomal RNA". It matches the Rfam family "Bacterial small subunit ribosomal RNA", at positions 524 to 773 of the family's 1533-position model. The record is from RNAcentral.
UACGUAGGUGGCAAGCGUUGUCCGGAAUUACUGGGUGUAAAGGGAGCGUAGGCGGGACUGCAAGUCAGAAGUGAAAAUUAUGGGCUCAACUCAUAACCUGCUUUUGAAACUGCAGAUCUUGAGUGAAGUAGAGGCAAGCGGAAUUCCCAGUGUAGCGGUGAAAUGCGUAGAUAUUGGGAGGAACACUAGAGGCGAAGGCGGCUUGCUGGGCUCUUACUGACGCUGAGGCUCGAAAGCGUGGGGAGCAAAC